UUCAGAUAUUGUACAACGUUUUGGGGAGAUAAUUGGUAUCACAAUAUAUAACUGAUUUUUAACAGUUUUGCAAAUGGUAUUCGUGAGUCACUGCAAAUUGAACACGCUUAAAAAAUAAACAACACAAAAGCUGUGUAUAAGUUACAAACCCGUGAUGAAAAGUUUCAGUUUUUUAAUAUAAGGUCUGAAUUUAUAGCUUCCAAUACUUUCCAGAAUCGAAAAAUUAACAUUAUAAACGUUUGUUGAACAAGUUUUGUAAAAAUAUGUUUAACGCAAUAUAAAAACUUAGACUACCCUUUGUGUUAAAUUUUCCUAGCGUGCAGGUUGUUGUGUUUAUUUUGCAAAUGAAAAAAGAAAAAAAAAUCCAAUCUGCAAUCUGCCAAUUUUGAUCCCGUUUCUUCGGAUAAAAACUAGUCGCAAUUUAUUGUAAACGCUUGUUUAUUGCAUUUUUGUUCCGGGCAGUGCCAAUGAGAGUAAAACAUCAGUCGGAAGAUACUCUCAAAUCAGUGUUGUAUGCCGAAUGGAUCGGUUUGAUAGUGAACCACUGACGACGAAGGUGCUGAACGAGAAUGGUAACGGUUUCUCGGUGGGUAAACGAUAACGAGCAACAACAACCAUUCGGUCAGUGCCGAUGUUACAAGGAUCGAGUAUCCUUGUGAAAACAAAACGCUCCUCGCUCCUCGAAAAACAUUCCUCAAUGUUCCCUGCGCAGCUGUGUCCAGCACCUAUGGAAAUUUUACCGGAGAUGUUCAAUAGGAUGUAAAAAUUGCCGUCGUGUACGUGAUCGUAGAACCUAUCAUUAUGGACGACACUUUCAAGGAUCCACAGAGCAGCCGGUUGAAACGAUGCGGCCAUUUAAGAAGAAAAUCAGUGUUCUGCACUUAUCUUUGAUAGAAUAAAUUCAUAGCAUCUAAAAUCACUACGCUAUACAAUAAAAGAAAAAAAU
Molecule: long non-coding RNA, 946 nt
Organism: Aedes aegypti (yellow fever mosquito)
Lineage: Eukaryota; Metazoa; Arthropoda; Insecta; Diptera; Culicidae
Exons: 2
Source: RefSeq, a predicted model, not a curated record